UACGGGGGGGGCAAGCGUUGUUCGGAAUUACUGGGCGUAAAGGGCUCGUAGGCGGCCAACUAAGUCGGAUGUGAAAUCCCCAGGCUUAACCUGGGAACUGCAUCCGAUACUGGAUGGCUUGAAUCCGGGAGAGGGAUGCAGAAUUCCAGGCGUAGCGGUGAAAUGCGUAGAUAUCUGGAGGAAUACCGGUGGCGAAGGCGGCAUCCUGGACCGGCAUUGACGCUGAUGAGCGAAAGCUAGGGGAGCAAACGGG
Molecule: ribosomal RNA, 253 nt
Filed under: uncultured bacterium
Lineage: Bacteria
Description: partial 16S ribosomal RNA
Rfam family: Bacterial small subunit ribosomal RNA
Source: RNAcentral